Molecule: long non-coding RNA, 588 nt
Organism: Symphalangus syndactylus (siamang)
Lineage: Eukaryota; Metazoa; Chordata; Mammalia; Primates; Hylobatidae
Source: RefSeq, a predicted model, not a curated record
CACUUCUCCUUCCUGCCAUCGUGUGAAGAAGGAUGCUUCCCCUUCUGCCAUGAUUGUAAGUUUCCUGAGGCCUCCUCAGCCCUGCAGAACUGGCUAGAGCAGUGUAUCUUAGGCUCACUUAAGGAAGCUGUAGAGAUGAGCCCAAGGAGGGAAACCAGAAGAGCCCCCCAGGCUCACCAGUUGUUUGUUGGCUCCCUACAAACAUGUCAUUCAAGUGGCUAAUCUUACAACAGCACAAAUGCAUCUAACCAGAGAUACUCUAUUAUAGCAAAGAAGAAAGACAAUUUCAUUGAGCCAUCCUGUUUUACAGAUAAGGAAACCAAAGGCCAUAGAAGACUUGCCUUAUGUCAUGAAGAAAGUUUAUGUUAGAACUCAGGGCUCCCAAUUCCACUGUUCUUUAUUCUACACCUGGGUGGUCACAGCUGAAAAUGUUUUGCUUAUUUCUAAACAGAAAUCAUUUUUGACAUGUUCAUUUUAAUGAUGUGUCUACGCCUGGGGCUAAUAUCAUGAAAACAAUGUGUCUGGUAAGGAGAAAACUGAAAAAGUCAGCAUUAAAAAGGCAUUUAAGUCAAUUUCAAAUGCCUCCCA